AGGACGAACGCUGGCGGCGUGCUUAACACAUGCAAGUCGAGCGGAAAGGCCCUUCGGGGUACUCGAGCGGCGAACGGGUGAGUAACACGUGAGUAAUCUGCCCCUAGCUCUGGGAUAGCUCCGGGAAACCGGGAUUAAUACCGGAUACGACCACCUUAGACAUCUUUUGUGGUGGAAAGAAUUUCGGCUAGGGAUGAGCUCGCGGCCUAUCAGCUAGUUGGUGGGGCAACGGCCCACCAAGGCGACGACGGGUAGCCGGCCUGAGAGGGCGACCGGCCACACUGGGACUGAGACACGGCCCAGACUCCUACGGGAGGCAGCAGUGGGGAAUAUUGCGCAAUGGGCGAAAGCCUGACGCAGCGACGCCGCGUGGGGGAUGAAGGCCUUCGGGUUGUAAACCCCUUUCAGCAGGGACGAAGCGAAAGUGACGGUACCUGCAGAAGAAGCGCCGGCUAACGUACGCGCCAGCAGCCGC
Molecule: ribosomal RNA, 475 nt
Filed under: uncultured bacterium
Lineage: Bacteria
Description: SSU rRNA
Rfam family: Bacterial small subunit ribosomal RNA
Source: RNAcentral